RNAcentral lists this microRNA precursor (92 nucleotides) under Mustela putorius furo (domestic ferret). RNAcentral describes it as "miRNA (ENSMPUG00000022797.1)". Lineage: Eukaryota; Metazoa; Chordata; Mammalia; Carnivora; Mustelidae. The record is from RNAcentral.
AUAUCUAUAUAGAUAUACAUAUGUAUAUCUAUAUAGAUAUAUACAUACACACACACACAUACACACACAAUGGAAUACUAAGCAGCCAACAA